AAAAAGUUUAAUUUUGGCUUAAAAAUUCAAUUGAUUAUUAUUUUACAUGUAUAUUUUUAUAGAAAUUUUUUUUUUAGUAAAUAAUUUUAUUAAAAUUAGUCAUCUAAUUUUAGUAAUUAAUUUUGUAUUUAAUAAAAUUUGUGCCAGCAAUUGCGGUUAUACAAAUAAAUAAAUUGAAUAUUUUUAGAUGUAAUAAGCUAUUUUUUAUUAAAAAAUUGAAAUUAUGAGGUGAAAUUUAAAUUUCAAUAAUUAUUUAUAUUUAGUGAUUUAACAAAGAAAUAUUUAAACUAGGAUUAGAUACCCUAUUAUUAAAUCUUUAAUUUUAAAGUCUAAAUUAUUAAUAGCUAUGUUCUUAAAAAUUAAAAAAAUUGGCGGUGUUUCAGUCAAUUCAGAGGAACCUGUUCUGUAAUUGAUAUUCCACGAUAAGAUUAACUUUUUUUAUUAGUUUGUAUAUCGUUGUUUAGAAUUUCUUUUUUGAGAUAAUUUUCAAUUGUUUUUAUUAAAAUAAAUUUCAGAUCAAGGUGCAGCUUAUAAAUAAGAAGAGAUGGGUUACAAAAAAAUUAUAUUUGGUUAUAAAAAUUUAAUUUUUAUAUAAAUUGGAUUUGAUAGUAAUUAUAAGAAUUUUCUUAUAAUGAUCAUUGUUCUGUAAUAUGUACAUAUUGCCCGUCACUCUCAAUAUAUUUGAGAUAAGUCGUAACAAAGUAGAUGUACUGGAAAGUGUAUCUAGAAAUAU
RNAcentral lists this non-coding RNA (733 nucleotides) under Photinus signaticollis. Lineage: Eukaryota; Metazoa; Arthropoda; Insecta; Coleoptera; Lampyridae. The record is from RNAcentral.